GACGAACGCUGGCGGCGUGCUUAACACAUGCAAGUCGAACGGAAAGGCCCUGCUUUUGUGGGGUGCUCGAGUGGCGAACGGGUGAGUAACACGUGAGUAACCUGCCCUUGACUUUGGGAUAACUUCAGGAAACUGGGGCUAAUACCGGAUAGGAGCUCCUGCUGCAUGGUGGGGGGUUGGAAAGUUUCGGCGGUUGGGGAUGGACUCGCGGCUUAUCAGCUUGUUGGUGGGGUAGUGGCUUACCAAGGCUUUGACGGGUAGCCGGCCAGAGAGGGUGACCGGCCACAUUGGGACUGAGAUACGGCCCAGACUCCUACGGGAGGCAGCAGUGGGGAAUAUUGCACAAUGGGCGGAAGCCUGAUGCAGCAACGCCGCGUGCGGGAUGACGGCCUUCGGGUUGUAAACCGCUUUCGCCUGUGACGAAGCGUGAGUGACGGUAAUGGGUAAAGAAGCACCGGCUAACUACGUG
RNAcentral lists this ribosomal RNA (469 nucleotides) under uncultured bacterium. RNAcentral describes it as "partial 16S ribosomal RNA". It matches the Rfam family "Bacterial small subunit ribosomal RNA", at positions 28 to 507 of the family's 1533-position model. The record is from RNAcentral.